GAUGAACGCUGGCGGCGUGCCUAAUACAUGCAAGUCGAGCGAACGGACGAGAAGCUUGCUUCUCUGAUGUUAGCGGCGGACGGGCGAGUAACACGUGGAUAACCUACCUAUAAGACUGGGAUAACUUCGGGAAACCGGAGCUAAUACUGGAUAAUAUUUUGAACCGCAUGGUUCAAAAGUAAAAGACGGUCUUGCUGUCACUUAUAGAUGGAUCCGCGCUGCAUUAGCUAGUUGGUAAGGUAACGGCUUACCAAGGCAACGAUGUAUAGCCGACCUGAGAGGGUGAUCGGCCACACUGGAACUGAGACACGGUCCAGACUCCUACGGGAGGCAGCAGUGGGGAAUCUUCCGCAAUGGGCGAAAGCCUGACGGAGCAACGCCGCGUGAGUGAUGAAGGUCUUCGGAUCGUAAAACUCUGUUAUUAGGGAAGAACAUAUGUGUAAGUAACUGUGCACAUCUUGACGGUACCUAAUCAGAAAGCCACGGCUAACUACGUG
This 497-nucleotide ribosomal RNA is filed under the name uncultured bacterium. RNAcentral's name for it is "partial 16S ribosomal RNA". It matches the Rfam family "Bacterial small subunit ribosomal RNA", at positions 28 to 507 of the family's 1533-position model. The record is from RNAcentral.